GGCCGAGCGGUUGAAGGCACCGGUCUUGAAAACCGGCGACCCGAAAGGGUUCCAGAGUUCGAAUCUCUGC
This 70-nucleotide transfer RNA is filed under the name Escherichia coli. Its description in RNAcentral is "tRNA-Ser". It matches the Rfam family "tRNA", at positions 9 to 64 of the family's 71-position model. Rfam says of the family: Transfer RNA (tRNA) molecules are approximately 80 nucleotides in length. Their secondary structure includes four short double-helical elements and three loops (D, anti-codon, and T loops). RNAcentral also lists the same sequence under 3 other names. Lineage: Bacteria; Pseudomonadati; Pseudomonadota; Gammaproteobacteria; Enterobacterales; Enterobacteriaceae. The record is from RNAcentral.